Molecule: ribosomal RNA, 497 nt
Filed under: uncultured bacterium
Lineage: Bacteria
Description: partial 16S ribosomal RNA
Rfam family: Bacterial small subunit ribosomal RNA
Source: RNAcentral
GAUGAACGCUGGCGGCGUGCCUAAUACAUGCAAGUCGAGCGAACGGACGAGAAGCUUGCUUCUCUGAUGUUAGCGGCGGACGGGUGAGUAACACGUGGAUAACCUACCUAUAAGACUGGGAUAACUUCGGGAAACCGGAGCUAAUACCGGAUAAUAUUUUGAACCGCAUGGUUCAAAAGUGAAAGACGGUCUUGCUGUCACUUAUAGAUGGAUCCGCGCUGCAUUAGCUAGUUGGUAAGGUAACGGCUUACCAAGGCAACGAUGCAUAGCCGACCUGUGAGGGUGAUCGGGCACACUGUAUCUGGGAGUCGGUCCAGAUUCCUACGGGAUGCAGCAGUAGGGAAUCUUGCGCAAUGGGCGAAAGCCGGACGGAGCAACGCCGCGUGAGUGAUGAAGGUCUUCGGAUCGUAAAACUCUGUUAUUAGGGAAGAACAUAUGUGUAAGUAACCGUGCACAGCUUGACGGUACCUAAUCAGAAAGCCACGGCUAACUACGUG